UGGGGAAUAUUGGACAAUGGGCGCAAGCCUGAUCCAGCCAUGCCGCGUGAGUGAUGAAGGCCUUAGGGUUGUAAAGCUCUUUCGCCGACGAAGAUAAUGACGGUAGUCGGAGAAGAAGCCCCGGCUAACUUCGUGCCAGCAGCCGCGGUAAUACGAAGGGGGCUAGCGUUGUUCGGAAUCACUGGGCGUAAAGCGCACGUAGGCGGAUUGUUAAGUCAGGGGUGAAAGCCUGGAGCUCAACUCCAGAACUGCCCUUGAUACUGGCAAUCUCGAGUCCGGAAGAGGUAAGUGGAACUGCGAGUGUAGAGGUGAAAUUCGUAGAUAUUCGCAAGAACACCAGUGGCGAAGGCGGCUUACUGGUCCGGUACUGACGCUGAGGUGCGAAAAGCGUGGGGAGCAAACAGGAUUAGAUACCCUGGUAGUCCACGCCGUAAAACGAUGGAGGCUAGCCGUUGGCGAGCAUGCUCGUCAGUGGCGCAGCUAACGCAUUAAGCCUCCCGCCU
This 503-nucleotide ribosomal RNA is filed under the name uncultured bacterium. Its description in RNAcentral is "partial 16S ribosomal RNA". It matches the Rfam family "Bacterial small subunit ribosomal RNA", at positions 355 to 874 of the family's 1533-position model. The record is from RNAcentral.